GGAAGUAAAAGGCGUAACAAGGUCUCCGUAGGUGAACCUGCGGAGGGAUCAUUACAGAGUUCAUGCCCUACCGGGUAGAUCUCCCACCCUAUGUUAUUAUUACUUUGUUGCUUUGGCGGGCCGUUAGGCUCCGGCCCGACUACCGGCCCCGGCUGGUAAGCGCCCGCCAGAGGACCCAAAACCCUGAAUAUUAGUGUCGUCUGAGUACUAUAUAAUAGUUAAAACUUUCAACAACGGAUCUCUUGGUUCUG
RNAcentral lists this unclassified non-coding RNA (251 nucleotides) under plant metagenome. Its description in RNAcentral is "partial contains small subunit ribosomal RNA, internal transcribed spacer 1, and 5.8S ribosomal RNA". The stretch from base 1 to 54 matches the Rfam family "Eukaryotic small subunit ribosomal RNA", at positions 1778 to 1831 of the family's 1831-position model. The record is from RNAcentral.